UACGGGGGGGGCAAGCGUUGUUCGGAAUUACUGGGCGUAAAGGGCUCGUAGGCGGCCAACUAAGUCCGACGUGAAAUCCCCAGGCUUAACCUGGGAACUGCGUCGGAUACUGGAUGGCUUGAAUCCGGGAGAGGGAUGCGGAAUUCCAGGUGUAGCGGUGAAAUGCGUAGAUAUCUGGAGGAACACCGGUGGCGAAGGCGGCAUCCUGGACCGGCAUUGAUGCUGAGGAGCGAAAGCCAGGGGAGCAAACGGG
Molecule: ribosomal RNA, 253 nt
Filed under: uncultured bacterium
Lineage: Bacteria
Description: partial 16S ribosomal RNA
Rfam family: Bacterial small subunit ribosomal RNA
Source: RNAcentral